GACGGAGGGUGCAAGCGUUGCUCGGAAUCACUGGGCGUAAAGGGUGCGUAGGCGGUCUCGCAAGUCUGGCGUGAAAGCCCAAGGCUCAGCCUUGGAAGUGCGCUCGAAACGGCGAGGCUGGAGUGCCGGAGGGGAGAGUGGAAUUCCCGGUGUAGCGGUGAAAUGCGUAGAUAUUAGGAAGAACACCAGUGGCGAAGGCGGCUCACUGGUCCGGUACUGACGCUGAGGUGCGAAAGCGUGGGGAGCAAACAGG
Molecule: ribosomal RNA, 253 nt
Filed under: uncultured bacterium
Lineage: Bacteria
Description: partial 16S ribosomal RNA
Rfam family: Bacterial small subunit ribosomal RNA
Source: RNAcentral